RNAcentral lists this transfer RNA (76 nucleotides) under Oscillospiraceae bacterium. Its description in RNAcentral is "tRNA-Thr". It matches the Rfam family "tRNA". Rfam says of the family: Transfer RNA (tRNA) molecules are approximately 80 nucleotides in length. Their secondary structure includes four short double-helical elements and three loops (D, anti-codon, and T loops). Lineage: Bacteria; Bacillati; Bacillota; Clostridia; Eubacteriales; Oscillospiraceae. The record is from RNAcentral.
GCUCCUGUAGCUCACUCGGCAGAGCGCGUCCUUGGUAAGGACGAGGUAACCGGUUCGAUUCCGGUCAGGAGCUCCA